This 253-nucleotide ribosomal RNA is filed under the name uncultured bacterium. RNAcentral's name for it is "partial 16S ribosomal RNA". It matches the Rfam family "Bacterial small subunit ribosomal RNA", at positions 524 to 776 of the family's 1533-position model. The record is from RNAcentral.
UACGGAGGGUGCAAGCGUUGUUCGGAAUCACUGGGCUUAAAGGGUGCGUAGGCGGCUCGGCAAGUUGGGUGUGAAAGCCCUCGGCUCAACCGAGGAAUUGCGCCCAAAACUGCCGGGCUAGAGGGAGACAGAGGUGAGCGGAACUUAGGGUGGAGCGGUGAAAUGCUUUGAUAUCCUAAGGAACACCGGUAGCGAAAGCGGCUCACUGGGUCUUUGCUGACGCUGAGGCACGAAAGCUAGGGGAGCGAACGGG